RNAcentral lists this long non-coding RNA (1509 nucleotides) under Oryctolagus cuniculus (rabbit). Its description in RNAcentral is "lncRNA (ENSOCUG00000033423.1)". The record is from RNAcentral. Lineage: Eukaryota; Metazoa; Chordata; Mammalia; Lagomorpha; Leporidae.
AUGCAUAAUCACUCCCUGUGUGCACAAUCACUCCUGCGUGCACACUCACUCCCGUGUGCACACUCACUCCCUGUGUGCACACUCACUCCCGCAUGCACACUCACUCCUGCGUGCACACUCACUCCCUGCGUGCACACUCACUCCCUGCAUGCACACUCACUCCUGUGUGCACACUCACUCCCUGCGUGCACACUCACUCCCGUGUGCACACUCACUCCCAGCAUGCACACUCACUCCCUGCAUGCACAAUCACUCCCUGUGUGCACAAUCACUCCUGCGUGCACACUCACUCCCGUGUGCACACUCACUCCCUGCGUGCACAAUCACUCCCUGUGUGCACAAUCACUCCUGCAUGCACACUCACUCCCGUGUGCACACUCACUCCCUGCGUGCACACUCACUCCCUGUGUGCACACUCACUCCUGCGUGCACACUCACUCCCGCAUGCACACUCACUCCCUGCAUGCACACUCACUCCCGUGUGCACUCACUCCUGCAUGCAUACUCACUCCUGUGUGCACACUCACUCCCUGUGUGCACACUCACUCCUGUGUGCACACACACUCCUGCAUGCACACUCACUCCCGUGUGCACUCACUCCUGCAUGCACACUCACUCCUGCGUGCACACUCACUCCCUGUGUGCACACUCACUCCUGUGGGCACACUCACUCCCUGUGUACACACUCACUCCCUGUGUGCACACUCACUCCCGCAUGCACACACACUCCUGCAUGCACACUCACUCCCUGUGUGCACACUCACUCCCGUGUGCACUCACUCCUGCAUGCACACUCACUCCUGCGUGCACACUCACUCCUGCGUGCACACACACUCCUGCAUGCACACUCACUCCCUGUGUGCACACUCACUCCCUGCGUGCACACUCACUCCCGCAUGCACACUCACUCCUGCGUGCACACUCACUCCCUGUGUGCACACUCCCUGCGUGCACACUCACUCCCUGUGUACACACUCACUCCUGCGUGCACACUCACUCCCUGCAUGCACACUCACUCCCGUGUGCACUCACUCCUGCAUGCACACUCACUCCUGUGUGCACACUCACUCCCUGUGUGCACACUCACUCCUGUGUGCACACACACUCCUGCAUGCACACUCACUCCCGUGUGCACUCACUCCUGCAUGCACACUCACUCCUGCGUGCACACUCACUCCCUGUGUGCACACUCACUCCUGUGGGCACACUCACUCCCUGUGUACACACUCACUCCCUGUGUGCACACUCACUCCCUGUGUACACACUCACUCCCACGUGCACACUCCCUGUGUGCACACUCACUCCCUGCGUGCACACUCACUCCCGUGUGCACACUCACUCCCGCAUGCACACUCACUCCUGCGUGCACACUCACUCCUGUGUGCACACACACCUGAAGCACUGAGGCAUCCACACCACGGGAUCACAAUUGCUGUUUUCUUACCUCGAACCCUUCAGGCUAGAAGCUCCACAAGCGCAGCUCCACAAGCUCCACCUUGUAGCUACUGA